GCCGAAGUGGCGGAAUUGGCAGACGCGCUACGUUCAGGGCGUAGUGGGCGAAAGCCUGUGGGAGUUCGAGUCUCCCCUUCGGCACCA
This 87-nucleotide transfer RNA is filed under the name bacterium. Its description in RNAcentral is "tRNA-Leu". It matches the Rfam family "tRNA". From Rfam's summary of the family: Transfer RNA (tRNA) molecules are approximately 80 nucleotides in length. Their secondary structure includes four short double-helical elements and three loops (D, anti-codon, and T loops). The record is from RNAcentral. RNAcentral also lists the same sequence under 2 other names.